RNAcentral lists this ribosomal RNA (393 nucleotides) under uncultured Scuticociliatia. Its description in RNAcentral is "partial small subunit ribosomal RNA". It matches the Rfam family "Eukaryotic small subunit ribosomal RNA", at positions 30 to 432 of the family's 1831-position model. Lineage: Eukaryota; Ciliophora; Oligohymenophorea. The record is from RNAcentral.
GCUUGUCUCAAAGAUUAAGCCAUGCAUGUGUAAGUAUAAAUAACUCUAUACUAUGAAACUGCGAAUGGCUCAUUAUAUCAGUUAUAGUUUAUUUGAUAAUACUUUACUACUAGGAUAACCGUAGUAAUUCUAGAGCUAAUACAUGCUAUCAAGCCCGACUUCUUGAAGGGUUGUAUUUAUUAGACUUAAGCCAAUAUUCCUUGUGUCUAUUGCGAUGAUUCAUAAUAACUGAUCGAAUCUCAAAUUUGAGAUAAAUCAUUCAAGUUUCUGCCCUAUCAGCUUUCGAUGGUAGUGUAUUGGACUACCAUGGCAGUAACGGGUAACGAAGAAUUAGGGUUCGAUUUCGGAGAGGGAGCAUGAGAAACGGCUACCACAUCUAAGGAAGGCAGCAGG